This is a non-coding RNA of Rattus norvegicus (Norway rat), 2958 nucleotides long. NCBI's taxonomy places the organism in Eukaryota, Metazoa, Chordata, Mammalia, Rodentia, Muridae. The record is from RefSeq and is a predicted model, not a curated record.
UACUGCUACAGGUGAAAAGAGGUCAGAGGUCCAACAAGGGCUGCUGUCUUGCCUCAAGCAGUGUCUAGCCAGUGUUAUAUCUUAUCUGGGGAAUCACCAUAAGGUUCAGUGCCAGCAAUAGGAUAUGGCCCAUGGCCCAGAUAAGAGCUUUCUGCCUAAAACCAGGUCCACCACACCAGAGUCAAGUUGUCUGAGCUUAGUGCACCUAUGCACAGAGCCCAGAAGAACUUCAUCCACAUACCCUACCCCUCCCCAGUGCCUGUCUGGACCUAUGCAGGGAGAACACAUAUAGGAUCUUUGGUCCUUCUGCCAGACAUCUAAAGUUGACCCCAUCUCAUCCUUAGUUACCUGAUCAUAUCUAAUUGCUGAAAGCACACCCUCCCUCAGGCUUUUCUCUCCCAAGAGAAAACUUCUUGCUCAACAACUGAUGAGGGACCAGUUUAGAGACCACCUAUUGAUCUCUUGCAUAGACAAAGGGCACAGUACUUAACCUCAGGGCUCCAAGACAGAGGUAAGAGAAGAGACCACUUGAGCCAGGAUCUUCCCAGGACAGGAAAACCAAGCCUUCCAGUGGGAAGCAGGACCCCAUGUUGCUACAGAGUGGGGACCACUGCACCUCUAGCUUCUGCCCCUUCCUAGCUAGAGAGUUAUGCAUCCCUCAUGAUCCCACAGGCGAACCUUGCUGCCUGGGACUCCUACAGCAAGCAAGGGAAGCCGUCCUGUGGGUGCCGCGCCCAGUGAUAUCACUGCUCCUUAACUAGCUCAACGAAAAAAACUCCAGGAGCCAAUUUCUCUUACACUUCACUUUUGAAAAAUCGCAAUUCUGACCUUUUCCAUAUCUAUGUUUUUCCAUAUCCAGGGACCAACCUCAGGGAGGCAAGGUGACCCGACCACGGUAGAGCUGACUAAGAAUCAAAGCUCCUAACAUGGCCUGGUUUCCAGCUUCUUCUUCAGGUGGGUCUGUUACUGUGGGAACCCAAGACUCUUGGAAAUGAAGUCAAGCCUGUUUAUUAUUUGUGGCAAUGUUCUCUACACAUCUUUGUGGGCACAGAUGUGGUUAGACCUCAGUGAUUCUACAGACCCACCCCAUGAGGGGUAAGUAGCCUAAGAGGAAAGGGAGACACACCCAGACUACCAACAGGGCCUGACAGUUCAACCAUAAGGGAAACUACAGGGCUGGGUUGGAGUUUUGGAUAUCUCAGGGUCUGUACCUAAGAAUUUAAGCUGGGGCAUACAUGAUACUGUCACCCCUCUGCCCUUGUGAAUGAGAUAAGGUCAGGAAUGGAGCAAUGGCUUAGGAAUCUCACCAGCAAACCACUGCCUGGGGCAUCAGCACAGUGUUUAGGGCUAGAGCAGAAACCAGACUGCAAUAGGCAGCAGGCAGAGCUCUUGGUAAGGCUGACUUCCACAUACACAGAUCUUAAAUACUCUUACAUUGCAAAUUAGGUAACCGUGAAAGUUCAACGAAAUGUGUUCUUAAUCAAAUCAAAGGCAAAAUCAAAACCUGUUGCCAGUACCAACCAUUGUCUUGUGAGUCCAACUGUCCAUAGUGAAUGUGGAGGAACAGAGUAUAAUCAAAAAAAUCAGGACCAAGUAGGGCCAAUUUUAUGUUGCACUGGCAGAAAUACAUUGGAAAUGAGUAUACACUCCAUCAGGCAAGACAGACUCAACUUAUUCCUAACUUCACCCCAUGGUGUUCUGGAGGGUUUGGAGUUACACCCCGUGCAAACCUGGGAGCUGCAGGUCAGUGUCCAGGGACAUGGGCUCCUGGAGACAGGCCAGUAAGCUCCUCUGCUCAGUCUAGCAUUCAUUCUGACAACACUGAGUUGGCAGACAGAUGUUUACAAAGGCAAGCCUGGACAUGCUGCAGACCAGAAGAAACUGUGGCUGAAGAACCAAGCACCCAGGUAAGGGGGUAGGGGCUGCUUGGUUAGCCAAUCCUGACUGGGCCAUGUACCAGUUUUAUCAUCUACAUAAGGCCAAUAGCCAAGAGAGCUACCUCUAAUUGUCAUUCCUCCAAACACCUCCUCAGCCCCCAAGCCCUCCUAUGACAGGUGUUUAAAACUGGAUUUGUAAAGGGCACAUGUAUUUAUAUAGUUUAGCUAGAGUAGAUCACCCUGGAGCAGGGGCGUGUCAGAUCAAGGACAGACAAAUGGUCUACUCCAGGACUGAAGCAGGGAGCCACUGUGAUAAGGCAGCUACAACAGAACUUGUUAGCCACUUGGCUACUUAUUUUCCAAAAAGCAAGGCCAGUUAUCCAACAGAUAAAGGGUAUCCAGACCCUGGUUCAGGCAAGAGUAGCUUUUGGCCUGAAGAUUAGCCUGUCUUCAAGAAUACUCCUCAGAGAGUAAAGCUUGAGGGUUCUUGGUGAAGAGCUGGGUACACGUUGGGAGUAAGGAUAUUUUCAGUUAUGAACAAUGCUGCCCCCUAGUGCUGGACACAAAGGCAGCUCCUAAAUACAUACAGUUCCCACCCCCAGGCUGCUAUACCUCUACAUGGUAUCUUCCAUUUACAUUACUCUGCACAAAAACCUUGUCUUUGAGGCAAAAAGGACCCCCCCAAACACACACACACACACACACACACACACACACACACUCACUAAAUUUUAAGGCGAACAAGUCAAACACACACAGGAUUUCAAUGUCAAACAGUUAAAGUCUGGGUGACCUUACUGUGGUCCAGGCAGCUUGCAUUUUUAUUCCUUCUGUUGAGUACAUACAUGUACAUAUGUGCUUGUGCAUGUGGAGCUGAGACUGACACCAGAUAAUAUCCUCAAUUACUCUCCACCUUCUUUUUUAUUUAUUUAUUUUAUUUUAUUUAUUUUUUUUCCGGAGCUGGGGACCAAACCCAGGGCCUUGUGCUUGCUAGGCUCUACCACUGAGCUAAAUCCCCAACCCCACCUUCUUUUUUUUUUUUUUUUUUUUUUGGUUCUUUUUUUCGGAGCUGGGGACCGAA